RNAcentral lists this ribosomal RNA (274 nucleotides) under uncultured bacterium. RNAcentral's name for it is "partial 16S ribosomal RNA". It matches the Rfam family "Archaeal small subunit ribosomal RNA", at positions 473 to 747 of the family's 1478-position model. The record is from RNAcentral.
AAACCAGCACCUCAAGUGGUCAGGAGGAUUAUUGGGCCUAAAGCAUCCGUAGCCUGUUCUAUAAGUUUCCGGUUAAAUCCACUAGCUCAACUAGUGGGCUGCCGAAAAUACUGUAUAACUAGGGAGUGGGAGAGGUAGACGGUAUUCGGUAGGAAGGGGUAAAAUCCUUUGAUCUAUUGAGGACCACCUGUGGCGAAGGCGGUCUACCAGAACACGUUCGACGGUGAGGGAUGAAAGCUGGGGGAGCAAACCGGAUUAGAAACCCUAGUAGUCC